RNAcentral lists this ribosomal RNA (1343 nucleotides) under uncultured bacterium. RNAcentral describes it as "16S ribosomal RNA". It matches the Rfam family "Bacterial small subunit ribosomal RNA", at positions 28 to 1378 of the family's 1533-position model. The record is from RNAcentral.
GACGAACGCUGGCGGCGUGCUUAACACAUGCAAGUCGAACGGAAAGGCCCUGCUUUUGUGGGGUGCUCGAGUGGCGAACGGGUGAGUAACACGUGAGUAACCUGCCCUUGACUUUGGGAUAACUUCAGGAAACUGGGGCUAAUACCGGAUAGGAGCUCCUGCUGCAUGGUGGGGGUUGGAAAGUUUCGGCGGUUGGGGAUGGACUCGCGGCUUAUCAGCUUGUUGGUGGGGUAGUGGCUUACCAAGGCUUUGACGGGUAGCCGGCCUGAGAGGGUGACCGGCCACAUUGGGACUGAGAUACGGCCCAGACUCCUACGGGAGGCAGCAGUGGGGAAUAUUGCACAAUGGGCGGAAGCCUGAUGCAGCAACGCCGCGUGCGGGAUGACGGCCUUCGGGUUGUAAACUGCUUUCGCCUGUGACGAAGCGUGAGUGACGGUAAUGGGUAAAGAAGCACCGGCUAACUACGUGCCAGCAGCCGCGGUGAUACGUAGGGUGCGAGCGUUGUCCGGAUUUAUUGGGCGUAAAGGGCUCGUAGGUGGUUGAUCGCGUCGGAAGUGUAAUCUUGGGGCUUAACCCUGAGCGUGCUUUCGAUACGGGUUGACUUGAGGAAGGUAGGGGAGAAUGGAAUUCCUGGUGGAGCGGUGGAAUGCGCAGAUAUCAGGAGGAACACCAGUGGCGAAGGCGGUUCUCUGGGCCUUUCCUGACGCUGAGGAGCGAAAGCGUGGGGAGCGAACAGGCUCAGAUACCCUGGUAGUCCACGCUGUAAACGGUGGGUACUAGGUGUGGGGUCCAUUCCACGGGUUCCGUGCCGUAGCUAACGCUUUAAGUACCCCGCCUGGGGAGUACGGCCGCAAGGCUAAAACUCAAAGGAAUUGACGGGGCCCCGCACAAGCGGCGGAGCAUGCGGAUUAAUUCGAUGCAACGCGUAGAACCUUACCUGGGUUUGACAUGGAUCGGGAGUGCUCAGAGAUGGGUGUGCCUCUUUUGGGGUCGGUUCACAGGUGGUGCAUGGCUGUCGUCAGCUCGUGUCGUGAGAUGUUGGGUUAAGUCCCGCAACGAGCGCAACCCUUGUUCACUGUUGCCAGCACGUUAUGGUGGGGACUCAGUGGAGACCGCCGGGGUCAACUCGGAGGAAGGUGGGGAUGACGUCAAGUCAUCAUGCCCCUUAUGUCCAGGGCUUCACGCAUGCUACAAUGGCUGGUACAGAGAGUGGCGAGCCUGUGAGGGUGAGCGAAUCUCGGAAAGCCGGUCUCAGUUCGGAUUGGGGUCUGCAACUCGACCUCAUGAAGUCGGAGUCGCUAGUAAUCGCAGAUCAGCAACGCUGCGGUGAAUACGUUCCCGGG